GAUGGACGCUGGCGGCGCGCCUAACACAUGCAAGUCGAACGGCACCCCUCCUCGGAGGGAAGCGAGUGGCGAACGGCUGAGUAACACGUGGAGAACCUGCCCCCUCCCCCGGGAUAGCCGCCCGAAAGGACGGGUAAUACCGGAUACCCCGGGGUGCCGCAUGGCACCCCGGCUAAAGCCCCGACGGGAGGGGAUGGCUCCGCGGCCCAUCAGGUAGACGGCGGGGUGACGGCCCACCGUGCCGACAACGGGUAGCCGGGUUGAGAGACCGACCGGCCAGAUUGGGACUGAGACACGGCCCAGACUCCUACGGGAGGCAGCAGUGGGGAAUCUUGCGCAAUGGGGGGAACCCUGACGCAGCGACGGCGCGUGCGGGACGGAGGCCUUCGGGUCGUAAACCGCUUUCAGCAGGGAAGAGUCAAGACUGUACCUGCAGAAGAAGCCCCGGCUAACUACGUG
RNAcentral lists this ribosomal RNA (459 nucleotides) under uncultured bacterium. RNAcentral's name for it is "partial 16S ribosomal RNA". It matches the Rfam family "Bacterial small subunit ribosomal RNA", at positions 28 to 507 of the family's 1533-position model. The record is from RNAcentral.